GAAGAAGAGGGUCACCUUUGAUCCAAUUUCGAUGACUUAUGCUGAACUCUAUCCAUCUCUGAUUAAUAGAAAGUUAAUCACUCUGCGAGACCCUCCCGCUGUACCUGCUAACCCUCAGUGGUGGUACAAGCCUGAGCUUCAUUGUGUGUAUCAUUCCGGUGCUCCCGGACAUGGCGUGGAGAAUUGUUAUCCUCUGAAGACCAAGGUGCAAGACCUUGUAAGAAGCGGGAUUUUGUUUUUCGAGGACGUAGGUCCGAAUGUGAAGAAGAACCCACUGCCCGAGCAUGGGAAAUCUGUCAAUAUGGUCAAGGGUUGCCCUGGAAAAUACAAAGUCAAAUAUGUCAGUCAUAUCCGACAAUCGCUGGUUGAGAUGCAUCGCUUGCUGUGUGAUUACAGCCAUUAUGAACACGACCACGAUAGAUGUCGAGUAUGCUCUGUUAAUCAGAGAGGGUGUCGCCAGGUGCGCGGAGAUGUUCAAGAGAUGUUGGAUGAAGGAGUCAUUGAGAUCCUUCAAAACAGAAAUGUUGACGAAGAUGCUCUCGAAGUCAACUUAAUUUCUCCAGUAUUCCGGAUACCUGAUCCUGUUGUCAUCAAGUAUGAUGGUAUCAAGCAGAAGGCUUCUCCAGCUCUGACUAUCAAGCCAGCCGACCCUUACCGUACUCCUCCGAGAAGGCAGUCCCUUAUCGCUACAAUGCUGUAGCAGUGGAAAAUGGGAAAGAGGUGUCCCUGCCCUCUUCAUUUGUUGUUAACAUUGUUGACGUCAGCGGUUUGACCCGUAGUGGUCGUGUAUUUUCAGCUCCAUUGAAGCCUCAAGUUGAUGCUCGAGGAAGUAUUGAUGCUGAUUUUGUUGAAUGCCCGAUUGGGAAUGCUGUGAACACUCCAAAUCCGGAACCUGUUGCUAAGCCCUCCUCUACGUUGAAAACUCCUGCUUCUGCUGGCUCGAGUGGCAAUACGAGAGAAGAUUAUGAUGAGAUGUUGAGGCUCAUCAAAAGAAGCGAGUACAACGUUGUAGAUCAGCUUCUACAAACGCCAUCCAAAAUAUCUGUGUUAUCAUUGCUUUUGAAUUCAGAACCACACCGAGAAGCUCUGCAGAAGGUGUUGGAUGUGGCGUAUGUGGAUCACGAUGUCACGAUAGAACAGUUUGAUAGCAUUGUUGCAAACAUCACCGCUUGUAACAACCUGAGUUUUUGUGACGCUGAUGUCCCCGAGGAAGGAAGAGACCAUAACUUGGCAUUACAUAUAUCUAUGAGCUGCAAAGAUGACGCCAUGUCCAAUGUGUUGGUCGACACUGGAUCAUCGUUGAAUGUAUUGCCGAAGACCACUCUCACGAAGUUGUCAUGCUUUUUCUAGUUCUUCUUCCAAGUGCAGGAUAACCCCAAGGAGUUGAGGGUUUUUUUCUACCAAUUGGCGCCCUCCCUUCACCACCCCCAUGUGGAUGGUCUACAGGGUUCAUAACUAACCCCUCUUACUACAGGACGCUUGCCUCGCCAACGUUUAGCUCCGCUCUGCCCAAACUUUUCUGGUUUACCCCAACAUUCCCUACUUGUCCGACUGUUGCUGAGCAGUUUUUUGAUAUCAAACGGACCUCUCCAGAAGGUAAUUUUAAUGUUGCUGAUUUACCCUCUUUUGCAAUCAGUUUCGCUACAGCACCCGCUGGCUUCUAGCUAAAUUGUCCACCCUUUCCAAGUGUUAUUUCUAUGUUAUGUAUGGCCGUGCCUAACGGCAUAUCGGUUGAAGUAGAUUCUUCUUUUUGAUCAAUCAAAACCCCUUCCCAAACUAUACAAGCUUCUUCCAAAGCAUACGGCUUUCUGGAUGUAGAUUAUAAUAUCUAUACAGAUGCAUCUUAUAUAUCGUUUAUUUCGUAGAUUAUAUAUGACAUAACGAAGUACCAUACCACAUGAGUGGAUUUAUAAUCUACGAAUCAAAAUCUUCCGAAUGAAUGACUCAUGUUAUGAUCUUCUACAUCCUAGGUCUUUCUGUUCCGUUCCUUCAUCUGGCUUAUGUUCUUCAUGUAGCAUUCAGACCGAAUGACUCUAAGAAAUUACGUUGCUACUUACACCUAGUACGGGUAACGUAGGAGACAUUUCUAUUUUUUCCCGGAGGAAUCCUUAGAAUUACCACUGCUUCGCUUUCAAUUUGCCUUUGACCAUCAAAUGAAAUGUGAAAUAAUCCUUGUCUUCCCGGUUAGUUGAACGAGGAGCGCUUCGUGUUCUGUCGGUGCUUGAAACAAUUUUGUCUUCUCCAUAUUACUAUAUCUCUAGGGUCAAUAAUUGUAUAUUGGGAACUACUGAACUCAAUCACUUGUUGCCGUUAUUCUUCAGUUUUCUGUUGAAGUCUAUCUACUCCAAUUGGAUCAGUGAUCGAUUUCUAGGUUUCGCCAUAAACCUAAUUGGUUACUUCCAAUUACGUAAAUCAAUAGUUCAAACCGCACUCGAAGGUAGGGCAUUUCCCAUUUUUAUAGGAACUUCUGUACCAUAAACAAUGGUAUCUCCAAUUAUAGCCCCUUUGGGGUGUAAAAUAUAUCUUUUCUCACCAUCCCCAUAGUGUAUGAGACAAAUGUGUACAUUUCGAUUAGGGUCAUAUUCUAUGGUUAUGAUUCUACCAUAUAUGUCUUUUUCAUUGCGUCUAAAAUCAAUUUUACGGUAUAGACGCUUAUGACCUCCCCCUCUAUGCCCUGCGGUAAUGAUUCCAUGUGCAUUUCGAUUAGGGUCAUAUUCUAUGGUUAUGAUUCUACCAUAUAUGUCUUUUUCAUUGCGUCUAAAAUCAAUUUUACGGUAUAGACGCUUAUGACCUCCCCCUCUAUGCCCUGCGGUAAUGAUUACUCUGGCAUUACGCCCUUUACCACAAUGAUGCUGUCCAGAAAUCAAACGAUUUCGUGAAUUGGAUUUCACUUGACUGUUUACGGCUCCAUUGCGUGUGCUCGGGCUAGAAGUUUUGGAUAAAUGUAUCACCAUGUUAUGUUAUUAAGUGUAUUUUUAUUAAAGUUCUUUUCUUUCUAAGAGGUGGAAUAGAAUAACACGGUUGAAGCGUAAUGAUCAUACGUUGUUGAUGAAUUUAAUCUUCAUCCCAGAAUAAUACCACAAGAUAUGUUUGCCCUACUUCCUUAUUCACCCUAAUAAUAAUGUCUUUGUCAAGUUUUUCCGAGAAUUCAGAUAUCCAUUUUUGAUUCAAUUCAGAAAUAUCCAAAAGUAAUAUUAUCAUAUAUCAAAGUUUUUCCGAGAAUUCAGAUAUCCAUUUUUGAUUCAAUUCAGAAAUAUCCAAAAGUAAUAUUAUCAUAUAUCUCCGGAUUCUUGAUUAGUUCUAAUUUCUAUAGAAUAACACGGUUGAAGCGUAACGAUCAUACGUUUGUAAUGCAUUGUAUGUCCUAUAAUAGGUCGCAUUCUUCUUCUUCUACCCUUUCUUGGGAGUCGAUGACUAUUCAUAGCUAUUACCCUGACACCAAAGAAGAGUUCCAUCCAAUGUUCGAUUUCUGUCCUAGUUGAUCCUGAUUCGACAUCAAAAGUAUAUUGAUUUUUUCCCCAUAACCGAAUACUUUUUUCUGUAAAUACUGCAUAUUUGAUUCCAUUCAUAAAUCUAUUUUAUUCUUUCUUCCCUACGAGUUCUAGUCUCAAUAAGAAUACUAGCUUUUUUACUGUUCAUAUAUUAUAAUAUAAGUUGAAUAUACCGCACCAAUUUGUUAUGUAUGGGUGAUGAGAUUCCAUUGAUAGAGAUCCAACCGCUCUUGUUUCCCGGACACAUGGUCAGAACUUCGUCUCAAUAAUACUACUAAAUUUAGAAAUGAUGAAUUAUUGAAGUUUAUAUCAUUAACUAUUCUAUUUUUAUAUCAUUAACGAUGAUUUUUGUGAAUAAAUGAAUCACCCUGACACCAAAGAAGAGUUCCAUCCAAUGUUUGAUUUCUGUCCUAGUUGAUCCUGAUUCGACAUCAAAAGUAUAUUGAUUUUUUCCCCAUAACCGAAUACUUUUUUCUGUAAAUACUGCAUAUUUUAUUCCAUUCAUAAAUCUAUUUUAUUCUUUCUUCCCUAUGAGUUCUAGUCUCAAUAAGAAUACUAGCUUUUUUACUGUUCAUAUAUUAUAAUAUAAGUUGAAUAUACCGCACCAAUUUGUUAUGUAUGGGGGAUGAGAUUCCAUUGAUAGAGAUCCAACCGCUCUUGUUUCUCGGACACAUGGUCAGAACUUCGUCUCAAUAAUACUACUAAAUUUAGAAAUGAUGAAUUAUUGAAGUUUAUAUCAUUAACUAUUCUAUUUUUUUAUCAUUAACGAUGAUUUUUGUGAAUAAAUGAAUCAAAAAGAUAAAAAAAAUAUUUUUCCGUUAGAUUUUAUAUUCACUUAAAAAAUUGAAAUUAUAAUUGAAUAUGUUUGUUGUUUGUGAGAACCCAAACUAUUCUAUUUUUAUAUCAUUAACGAUGAUUUUUGUGAAUAAAUGAAUCAAAAAGAUAAAAAAAAUAUUUUUCCGUUAGAUUUUAUAUUCACUUAAAAAAUUGAAAUUAUAAUUGAAUAUGUUUGUCGUUUGUGAGAACCCCUUGAAUCAUUACAUUACUUGAUUGAAAGGGUUCUCGACGAUUUAUGGAAAGUAUAUAUGCUUUCCAUAUUUUGCUUUCUCAGGUUCUUUUAGUCAAUUAGAUGUAAAUGAACCGUAACUAUGUAGUCCUAUUCCUAAUAGAUUGAUCCCAAAAUAACAUAUCCAAAUUAUAAGAAAUCCUAUCGAGGCCACUAUUGAAGAAUUUAUACCUUCUAAUUUUUUCUUUUUUCUAGUAUGUAAAUAAAUCGCGAAUAUGGUCCAAGUAAUAAAGGCCCAAGUUUCCUUUGGAUCCCAAUUCCAAUAGGAACCCCAUGCCUCGUUAGCCCAUACUGCUCCUGAAAGAAUACCUACCGUUAAAAAGAGAAAACCCAGACUAGUAAUACGAUAACCCCAACGAUCCAAUUGUUGAAUAAAUUGACACCUGUAAUAAUUUCUAGAACUAGAAGAUGAAAAAGAAAUUCUUCGUAAAACAUUGUUUCUUUCAUUCCUAUUCAUGUAUUUGAUUUCAACAAAAUCAACUUUUUUUUUUAAAGAAUCCAAAUUCUUGCU
Molecule: long non-coding RNA, 5068 nt
Filed under: Lathyrus oleraceus (garden pea)
Lineage: Eukaryota; Viridiplantae; Streptophyta; Magnoliopsida; Fabales; Fabaceae
Description: Pisum sativum (pea) long non-coding RNA (PSAT_LNC019482)
Source: RNAcentral